This 819-nucleotide ribosomal RNA is filed under the name uncultured eukaryote. Its description in RNAcentral is "SSU rRNA". It matches the Rfam family "Eukaryotic small subunit ribosomal RNA", at positions 629 to 1426 of the family's 1831-position model. The record is from RNAcentral.
CGGUGUUUAACUGGCGUGAUGUGGGACGUCCUACCGGUGGGCUUAGCCUCGCGAGGGGCGGCCCAACUAAUAUCCCGUCGCGGUGCUCUUUACUGAGUGUCGAGUCGGGCCGGUACGUUUACUUUGAACAAAUUAGAGUGCUUAAAGCAGGCUAUCCUCGCCUGAAUACUGCGUGCAUGGAAUAAUGGAAUAGGACCUCGGUUCUAUUUUGUUGGUUUUCGGAACCCCGAGGUAAUGAUUAAUAGGGACAUAUGGGGGCAUUCGUAUUGCGACGUUAGAGGUGAAAUUCUUGGAUCGUCGCAAGACGGACAGAAGCGAAAGCAUUUGCCAAAAAUGUUUUCAUUAAUCAAGAACGAAAGUUAGAGGUUCGAAGGCGAUCAGAUACCGCCCUAGUUCUAACCAUAAACGAUGCCAGCUAGCGAUCCGCCGAAGUUCCUCCGAUGACUCGGCGGGCAGCUUCCGGGAAACCAAAGCUUUUGGGUUCCGGGGGAAGUAUGGUUGCAAAGCUGAAACUUAAAGGAAUUGACGGAAGGGCACCACCAGGAGUGGAGCCUGCGGCUUAAUUUGACUCAACACGGGAAACCUCACCAGGCCCAGACACCGGAAGGAUUGACAGAUUGAUAGCUCUUUCUUGAUUCGGUGGGUGGUGGUGCAUGGCCGUUCUUAGUUGGUGGAGCGAUUUGUCUGGUUAAUUCCGAUAACGAACGAGACUCUAGCCUGCUAAAUAGGCGUACCUUAUGGUAUCGCGAAGGCCCCCGGCUUCGGCCGGUGGGUUUUUACUACCAACGUACAAACAAAUCUUCUUAGAGGGACAGGCGG